CGCGGCUACUCCAUUUCCAUAGCCGCCCGGCGGAAAAAAGGAGGAAACCCCCGCCCGGCCGGCGGUGCGGCAGUGUGGAGACCUGCCGCAAUGGCGCGAAGGUUCCGCUCCUUCGCGGCGAGAAGGGCAGCGCGGAGGCCUGUCCUUUACGGCCAGAAGGUAUGGCA
Molecule: non-coding RNA, 167 nt
Filed under: bovine gut metagenome
Description: malK-I RNA
Rfam family: malK-I RNA
Source: RNAcentral